AUGUAAAGAGUCUCGAAGGUCUCCCUGCGCAGGCAGAAAAUGAUAAAGUUAGGUGCUUCAACAUGCUGAGUUGCAGACACAAAUCUUCAGGUGAAAAAGAAAACCUAAUCCAAAGCUCACUGAAUGUGAUCUACCUCAUAUUCAGAAUGCAAUAAUAACAUCAAUUCAACAAAGCAACAAAGAAAAUUUUCAAAAUAUGCCAGCCUAAGCCACUUACUUGAGAACCCUUAUGAGAAAAAU
RNAcentral lists this unclassified non-coding RNA (240 nucleotides) under Hevea brasiliensis (rubber tree). The record is from RNAcentral. Lineage: Eukaryota; Viridiplantae; Streptophyta; Magnoliopsida; Malpighiales; Euphorbiaceae.